AGUGGCGGACGGGUGAGUAACGCGUGAGAAUCUGCCUUGGGGUCGGGGACAACCACUGGAAACGGUGGCUAAUACCGGAUAAGCCGAUUGGUGAAAGAUUUAUUGCCCGAAGAGGAGCUCGCGUCUGAUUAGCUAGUUGGUGAGGUAAGAGCUCACCAAGGCAGCGAUCAGUAGCUGGUCUGAGAGGACGAUCAGCCACACUGGGACUGAGACACGGCCCAGACUCCUACGGGAGGCAGCAGUGCGGAAUUUUCCGCAAUGGGCGAAAGCCUGACGGAGCAAGACCGCGUGAGGGAGGAAGGCUCUUGGGUUGUAAACCUCUUUUCUCAGGGAAGAAGCUCUGACGGUACCUGAGGAAUCAGCCUCGGCUAACUCCGUGCCAGCAGCCGCGGUAAUACGGAGGAGGCAAGCGUUAUCCGGAAUUAUUGGGCGUAAAGCGUCCGCAGGUGGCGAUUCAAGUCUGCUGUCAAAGCACGGGGCUUAACUCCGUAAAGGCAGUGGAAACUGAAUAGCUAGAGUGCCGUAGGGGUAGAGGGAAUUCCCGGUGUAGCGGUGAAAUGCGUAGAGAUCGGGAAGAACAUCGGUGGCGAAAGCGCUCUACUGGACGGCAACUGACACUCAGGGACGAAAGCUAGGGGAGCGAAUGGGAUUAGAUACCCC
RNAcentral lists this ribosomal RNA (660 nucleotides) under uncultured bacterium. RNAcentral describes it as "bacterial SSU rRNA". It matches the Rfam family "Bacterial small subunit ribosomal RNA", at positions 94 to 788 of the family's 1533-position model. The record is from RNAcentral.